RNAcentral lists this small nuclear RNA (104 nucleotides) under Echinops telfairi (small Madagascar hedgehog). The record is from RNAcentral. Lineage: Eukaryota; Metazoa; Chordata; Mammalia; Afrosoricida; Tenrecidae.
GUGCUCGCUUUGCAGCACAUAUACUAAAAUUGGAAUGUUACAGAGAAGAUUAGCAUUGUCUAAAUGGAUAUUUCAUGAUCUAUCUUGAAGUACAACACUGUCUG